RNAcentral lists this ribosomal RNA (484 nucleotides) under uncultured bacterium. RNAcentral's name for it is "partial 16S ribosomal RNA". It matches the Rfam family "Bacterial small subunit ribosomal RNA", at positions 30 to 507 of the family's 1533-position model. The record is from RNAcentral.
AUUGAACGCUGGCGGCAUGCUUUACACAUGCAAGUCGAACGGUAACAGGGAGCUUGCUCCGCUGCCGAGUGGCGAACGGGUGAGUAAUAUAUCGGAACGUACCCAAGAGUGGGGGAUAACGUAGCGAAAGUUACGCUAAUACCGCAUACGAUCUAAGGAUGAAAGCAGGGGACCUUCGGGCCUUGUGCUCCUGGAGCGGCCGAUAUCUGACUAGCUAGCUGGUGAGGUAAAGGCUCACCAAGGCGACGAUCAGUAGCUGGUCUGAGAGGACGACCAGCCACACGGGAACUGAGACACGGUCCAGACUCCUACGGGAGGCAGCAGUGGGGAAUUGUGGACAAUGGGGGCAAGCCUGGUCCAGCAAUGCCGCGUGAGUGAAGAAGGCCUUCGGGUUGUAAAGCUCUUUUGUCAGGGAAGAAACGGGAUUGGCUAAGAUCCAGUCCUAAUGACGGUACCUGAAGAAUAAGCACCGGCUAACUACGUG